UCCUAGUUAGCUUAGUUGGUAGUGCGUCUGCCUUCUAAGCGGUAGGUCGCAGGUUUAAUUUCUGCCCGGGGAG
Molecule: transfer RNA, 73 nt
Filed under: Diaphorina citri (Asian citrus psyllid)
Lineage: Eukaryota; Metazoa; Arthropoda; Insecta; Hemiptera; Psyllidae
Rfam family: tRNA
About the family: Transfer RNA (tRNA) molecules are approximately 80 nucleotides in length.
Source: Rfam by way of RNAcentral